Molecule: ribosomal RNA, 497 nt
Filed under: uncultured bacterium
Lineage: Bacteria
Description: partial 16S ribosomal RNA
Rfam family: Bacterial small subunit ribosomal RNA
Source: RNAcentral
GAUGAACGCUGGCGGCGUGCCUAAUAUAUGCAAGUCGAGCGAACGGACGAGAAGCUUGCUUUUCUGAUGUUAGCGGCGGACGGGUGAGUAACACGUGGAUAACCUACCUAUAAGACUGGGAUAACUUCGGGAAACCGGAGCUAAUACCGGCUAAUAUUUUGAACCGCAUGGUUCAAAAGUGAAAGACGGUCUUGCUGUCACUUAUAGAUGGAUCCGCGCUGCAUUAGCUAGUUGGUAAGGUAACGGCUUACCAAGGCAACGAUGCAUAGCCGACCUGAGAGGGUGAUCGGCCACACUGGAACUGAGACACGGUCCAGACUCCUACGGGAGGCAGCAGUAGGGAAUCUUCCGCAAUGGGCGAAAGCCUGACGGAGCAACGCCGCGUGAGUGAUGAAGGUCUUCGGAUCGUAAAACUCUGUUAUUAGGGAAGAACAUAUGUGUAAGUAACUGUGCACAUCUUGACGGUACCUAAUCAGAAAGCCACGGCUAACUACGUG